This 61-nucleotide microRNA precursor is filed under the name Aedes aegypti (yellow fever mosquito). RNAcentral's name for it is "microRNA aae-mir-11915 precursor". The record is from miRBase by way of RNAcentral. Lineage: Eukaryota; Metazoa; Arthropoda; Insecta; Diptera; Culicidae.
CAGUCGCCUCUUCACAUCUCGAUAUCGAAGGGACCAUCGAGAUACGGAGAGAUUGCGACAA